This 272-nucleotide ribosomal RNA is filed under the name uncultured bacterium. Its description in RNAcentral is "partial 16S ribosomal RNA". It matches the Rfam family "Bacterial small subunit ribosomal RNA", at positions 524 to 793 of the family's 1533-position model. The record is from RNAcentral.
UACGGAGGGUGCGAGCGUUGUCCGGAAUCAUUGGGCGUAAAGGGCGCGUAGGUGGCGGGACAAGCGUGCGGUGAAAGCUCGGGGCUCAACCCCGAGUCGGCCGUGCGAACUGUUUUGCUUGAGCACUGUAGAGGCAGGCGGAAUUCCGGGUGUAGCGGUGGAAUGCGUAGAGAUCCGGAAGAACACCGGUGGCGAAGGCGGCCUGCUGGGCAGUAGCUGACACUGAGGCGCGACAGCGUGGGGAGCAAACAGGAUUAGAAACCCCUGGGUAG